CCUACGGGUGGCAGCAGUGAGGAAUAUUGGUCAAUGGACGAGAGUCUGAACCAGCCAAGUAGCGUGAAGGAUGACUGCCCUAUGGGUUGUAAACUUCUUUUAUAUGGGAAUAAAAUGUUCCACGUGUGGGAUUUUUUAUGUACCAUAUGAAUAAGGAUCGGCUAACUCCGUGCCAGCAGCCGCGGUAAUACGGAGGAUCCGAGCGUUCUCCGGCUUUAUUGGGUUUAAAGGGCGCGUAGGUGGAUUGUUAAGUCAGUUGUGAAAGUUUGCGGCUCAACCGUAAAAUUGCAGUUGAAACUGGCAGUCUUGAGUACAGUAGAGGUGGGCGGAAGUCGGGGUGUAGCGGUGAAAGGCUGAGAUAUAACGAAGAAAUCCGAUUGCGAAGGAAGCUCACUGGACUGCAACUGACACUGAGGCUCGAAAGUGUGGGUAGCAAACAGGAUUAGAUACCCCGGUAGUC
This 460-nucleotide ribosomal RNA is filed under the name uncultured bacterium. RNAcentral's name for it is "partial 16S ribosomal RNA". It matches the Rfam family "Bacterial small subunit ribosomal RNA", at positions 338 to 795 of the family's 1533-position model. The record is from RNAcentral.